CCAUCCGCCUCAGCAAGCAACAAUCCCUCGCA
This 32-nucleotide ribosomal RNA is filed under the name Tacca plantaginea. RNAcentral's name for it is "partial 26S ribosomal RNA". The record is from RNAcentral. Lineage: Eukaryota; Viridiplantae; Streptophyta; Magnoliopsida; Dioscoreales; Taccaceae.